UUAUUGCUUAUCAAUUUAACACGUGUUUAAUGGGUGUAUCUAAUCCUAUAUUAAUGGAUUGCUAUUCAAAUGCAUCGUAUAUUUCCAAAUUGAGAUAAAUUUUCUCGAAUAAGUAGAUUAAAUAAUGCAUGGCUUUCAGUGGUAGAAUGCUGGAUGCUACUUAUGUUCAGUUCUUGUUUCAGAAUGAAGUUGAUUUACUUUCAGUGCAAAGAAGGGAACUGUGGCUUUUCAAUAAUUGGUUUGUUGCAAAUCAUAGAUGGGAGCCUGCUCCUGUCUUAAAUUUUGUGACUACCAUAGAUCUUUGGGUGCAGAUGCGAGGCAUUCCUCUUCUCUAUGUUUGUGAGGAGACAGCUUUGGAGAUUGCUCAUGAGAUUGGUGAGAUCAUCACGCUGGACUUCCAUGAUGCAACGAUGACUCAAAUUGCUUAUAUUAGAGUCAGAGUUAGAAUUGGAAUCACUGAUAGGCUUCGUUUCUUCCAAAGAAUCACUUUUGAUUCUGGGGAAACUGCUCUCAUCAGGUUCCAAUAUGAGAGAUUGAGGAGGAUUUGUAGUAGCUGCUUCAGAGUUACACAUCACAGGAACUAUUGCCCUUAUAGACCAAGGCUACCUAAUUAUGGAAGGGAAAGAGCUGUCUUCCAUGAUGAAAGGCUUAGAUCGUCUAUGAAUUCUCAGUCUCAAAUGACGGAGUCUUCAUUUCCAGCACCUGUGCUCCCUCCACCAAGAAUUGUUACCCCUCCACUGAAUCAUGGAGAGUUUCUUGCAGCCCAUCCGAAUUUUCCUGCUCCAAGAGAAGGCCUUAAUCAUCAGGGUCGAGGGACUUACUAUCAAGGGCUCUGUCAAGGUCAACAGGUCUCAACUGAUUCUAAUAUCACGCCUUCAGUUGGAACAGCACUCUCAACGGGUUCUCGUCGGGUUUUUGAAGUUGGUCAAUCUUCAAGAGGGGUGGAAACAAGGGAAACAAGGAAGAGGCAAGAAGAGAAAGGAACUCAUGAUGAACAAGACAAAGCGCACAUGAAGGGAGGGAUUCUGAACCCUCCAAAGAAAAGAUAAACACUCUAUGAAUUCUGUCAUUUUUUUUAUUUAGGACUGCAUUGAUUUCAACAGAUGCAGAUCCAUGCUUUGGAAUAAUCUGCCUCAGUAGUAUGGCCUUCAUAACACUUUUUGGGUCAAGACAUACUCUAUAGCUGCAGUUGUUAUGUUUUAACGUUUACUUGUAACUUUCUGGUAUGCAACAUGGCUAACCUUGUUGGUUUCUGAUGCCAUGGUUGCUUGUUUACCUGUUUAUGUGUAUGUCUUCAAAGCUGUAAA
This 1307-nucleotide small RNA is filed under the name Arabidopsis thaliana (thale cress). RNAcentral describes it as "ATSL177180". The record is from RNAcentral. Lineage: Eukaryota; Viridiplantae; Streptophyta; Magnoliopsida; Brassicales; Brassicaceae.